RNAcentral lists this ribosomal RNA (406 nucleotides) under uncultured bacterium. RNAcentral's name for it is "partial 16S ribosomal RNA". It matches the Rfam family "Bacterial small subunit ribosomal RNA", at positions 29 to 526 of the family's 1533-position model. The record is from RNAcentral.
AUUGAACGCUGGCGGCAGGCCUAACACAUGCAAGUCGAACGAGUGGCGGACGGGUGAGUAAUGUCUGGGAAACUGCCUGAUGGAGGGGGAUAACUACUGGAAACGGUAGCUAAUACCGCAUACCAUCGGAUGUGCCCAGAUGGGAUUAGCUAGUAGGUGGGGGAAAGGCUCACCUAGGCGACGAUCCCUAGCUGGUCUGAGAGGAUGACCAGCAACACUGGAACUGAGACACGGUGAAGACACCUACGGGAGGAAGAAGUGGGGAAUAUGGCAAAAGGGGCGCAAGCCUGAUGCAGCCAGGACGCGGGUAUGAAGAAGGACGUAGGGUUGUAAAGUACUUUAAGCGGGGAGGCGGUACCAGCAGAAGAAGCACCGGCUAACUCCGUGCCAGCAGCCGCGGUAAUAC